Molecule: ribosomal RNA, 421 nt
Filed under: uncultured bacterium
Lineage: Bacteria
Description: bacterial SSU rRNA
Rfam family: Bacterial small subunit ribosomal RNA
Source: RNAcentral
UAAGGAAUAUUGGUCAAUGGACGCAAGUCUGAACCAGCCAUGCCGCGUGAAGGAUGAAGGUCCUCUGGAUUGUAAACUUCUUUUAUCUGGGACGAAAACGGGAUUUUUAUCUCAAUUGACGGUACCAGAGGAAUAAGCACCGGCUAACUCCGUGCCAGCAGCCGCGGUAAUACGUAGGGGGCAAGCGUUGUCCGGAUUUACUGGGUGUCAAGGGCGCGCAGGCGGGAUAAAAAGUCAGUGGUGAAAUCCUACAGCUUAACUGUAGAACUGCCUUUGAUACUUUUAUUCUUGAGUUGGGGAGAGAGAGACGGAAUUCCAGGUGUAGUGGUGAAAUACGUAGAUAUCUGGAAGAACACCCGUUGCGAAGGCGGUCUCUUGGUCCGACACUGACGCUGAGGCGCGAAAGCGUGGGGAACAAACA